GUGCACCAGGCGAGAAUUUUUCUCAAUGGGGGCAACCCUGAAGGAGCGACGCCGCGUGGAGGAUGAAGGCUUUCGGGUUGUAAACUCCUGUCAUUUGAGAACAAGUGUAGCCAAGUAACUACUGGCUACUUGAUAGUAUCAGAAGAGGAAGGGACGGCUAACUCUGUGCCAGCAGCCGCGGUAAUACAGAGGUCCCAAGCGUUGUUCGGAUUCAUUGGGCGUAAAGGGUGCGUAGGUGGCGCCGUAAGUGGGGUGUGAAAUUUCGGAGCUUAACUCCGAAACUGCAUUCCAUACUGCGGUGCUUGAGGACUGGAGAGGAGACUGGAAUUCAUGGUGUAGCAGUGAAAUGCGUAGAGAUCAUGAGGAAGACAGUGGCGAAGGCGGUCUCUGGACAGUUCCUGACACUGAGGCACGAAGGCCAGGGAGCGAACGGGAUUAGAUACCCCUGUAGU
This 452-nucleotide ribosomal RNA is filed under the name uncultured organism. Its description in RNAcentral is "bacterial SSU rRNA". It matches the Rfam family "Bacterial small subunit ribosomal RNA", at positions 346 to 794 of the family's 1533-position model. The record is from RNAcentral.